UUGCAGCCAAUUAAGCCGACUGAGUUCCUUUCCUCAUGGGGGCCCAGUGUGCAAUGGCUGCAAUGGCUGGUAGUGAUGCAGCCUAUUUGUUGUAUGGGUUGCUCUAAGGGACCUUGGAGACAGUC
RNAcentral lists this small nucleolar RNA (125 nucleotides) under Piliocolobus tephrosceles (Ugandan red Colobus). Its description in RNAcentral is "Small nucleolar RNA SNORA70 (ENSPTEG00000035370.1)". It matches the Rfam family "Small nucleolar RNA SNORA70". From Rfam's summary of the family: snoRNA U70 seems to be exclusive to mammals and is a member of the H/ACA class of snoRNA which contain H (ANANNA) and ACA box motifs. Lineage: Eukaryota; Metazoa; Chordata; Mammalia; Primates; Cercopithecidae. The record is from Rfam by way of RNAcentral.